UUAGGAAUUUCUCAAAACUCUUCUUGUGUCGUGAAGAAUGCAAGGUCUCGGGUCAGGUGAGAUCUUCAGAGGCCUCUGCUCGGAGCAAGCCUUUCUUCACACUCUUCUCUGCGGCUGGGCUGUCUCUGCACCCCUUGGACCUCUUGACUCCUCCUGUCACAGCACUUGACACAUCACCCUAGGGAACUAGGCAUGCCCUUGAUCCCUACCCCCAGGUAGGCAGGAACUUUGUCCUUUCUGUACAGCAGAUCACCGUUACACCCUUACUGAAGGAGGGAAAAAAUCACACCAAGUGCCCUAAGACUCACUAUGUAACUGACUUCUUUCCAUCCCUCAUUCUGCCUCAUACCCAGCAGGUGUCAUCUGUCUAAAGAGAAACACUGUUGACCUGUGUACUUCUGUUUCCAGGGCUUGGCAUAACCCUGGAACUUUCAAUAUGAUUUUAAAACACACAAAGUCCAUCCCUUCUCAUGCUCUCUGCAGAACCUUAGGUGCUAGGCUGGGAUGGAAAUGGUUGGGAAAGAGCCUCGUAGCAAACAUGGUAAGUUUUGAUUAAUACCAGCAAACACCACAAUAUAAGCAGUACAGGCAAAACAGAAGAAAAAUAUUUGCAUAUUGAAAACAGUAAUGACAGAUAAGAAAUAGGGUUACCAUUUGUUCCUUUAACAGACAUUUUCCAGUGGUUUCUUCAAUAAAAAAAAAACCAAAUUGGAACACAAAACACAUUCAAUCUUAAGAAACGCAGACAUUUAAGAAAAAAUACAAUAGAAGAAAGGGAAAUACGGAGGAGAACGAAUACAUUUUUUUUUAACAUAUUUAAUGUUUCAUAGUUAUUUCUGAAACAGAAGCAUUUUAAUUCCACAGUGAGUACAUUUUACUUCAAAACCGUGUAUCACAUUUUAAGUAGUAAAGUACAAAUACUUAAAAACGUAACUUAGCCACAAUUCAACCACUGACCCAGAGACGUCUAAUUACCUGUUGUCUCCACCAGAGUGACUCUUGACCUGUUAACGAGAUUGGACCAGCAGCAUCAUGUCAUUGAGCCAAGGGUGAGGAAUUAAAAUGAAGAUCUGAUGAUGGAUCAGUUUAAAAGGGAAAAAAUAAAAUUCAACAUCGGAGGCAAGAACUGCUGAACAUGGAAGGAUGAAGGUGAGAGGAAGCUGAUGUUGCUGUGCUCAGACGCCCGGAGACCUUUGACCUGCUGGAAGCUGGCACUUGUCAGUCAGCGUGGGGAGGGGCCGCAGCCCGUGACCUCCCUGCCCCCGGAAGAUAAGCCACGUGAGGGAAGUGCAGGGGCACAGCCAAGGAGCCAGCAGGUGGGAGCUCUCUGAACGAGUCCCCUUUGGCAGCGAGCUACCCCCUACGCCCCGGCGGCUCCCGCAGCAGCAUAGUGAACGGCGGAGCCAGAUGAAGGAAGGAGGGAUUUCUUUUAAAUAUUCUCUUGUGGUUCAAAUACAGAUACAAAUUCCUGACAUUUGUCUACACAUGGGUGUACACUGAGCCACACCUCUGCUCAGAUACAGGCACACAGCUCACUCGGGAGACAGCUGCCUGAUAGGAGCAAAUGCUGUGUUGGCAUCCCGGGCGUGGACGAGGGCUCCGCUUACCUCGGGGCUGAUGACUUCAAGUGGAUUAUACUGAACAGAGAGACUUACUGGAGGACACUGAGCUAGCUUAUCUGCCGCCACCAUCUGGACAUUGAGGUGUUUUGCUUGAGAUUUCCCUCGAGACUUUAUUAACCUCUGUAAAACCUGCAAAAGAUGAGGUUUUUAAACAGCAGUGUCUGUACUCAGGUAAACAACAAGGUUCAUUAUUCACUCGUUUCUCUAGGACCUUUUUCAUACAGCACUCACGGUUUACUAGGCAAGAAAAUAGAAUAUUUAAGAUUUGGAAAAUUAACACAUCUUGGUUGCAAGCUUCAAAAACCACCAGCAUGGGGAUUAUUCUGAAUCUUUUUUUAAGGCUAGCACUUCUCAGACUUUAUUGCUCAUGAUUUAUGUUUUUAAAAACUGUUGAGAAAUCCCAAGGGCUUUUUAUGUGAACUAGAAUAUUUACAUACUAGACAUUAAAACUGAGAAAUUCAUUUAAGAAUGACCAAUAAACCUCUUGCAUGUUAACAUAUAUCACUUAUUUCAAGAAAAAUAGCUAAAUUAUUUGCAAAUUUCUCUACCACCUGACUUCACAGAAGAUAACCAAUGUUUCCUCUUUCUACAUUUAAUCUGCCACAGUACAUUACUUUGAAAUACGUGAAGAAAAUCCAGCCUCUUCCACAUACGUAAUUCAGAAAAGGAGGAGUAUUUUAGUAGCCUUUUCAGAUAAUUGUGGAUAUUUUUCUUUGAUACUACAGUAAACAAGUGGUAGCUUUUUAAAGAUUAGCUGCCAUGUGACAUCUGAAACCCUACUCUAUUAAAUUCCAUUGAUUUGUCCUGAAAUUUGAAUGGCAUGUCAUUUGUUCUUUCCAAUAAAAACGGUGUUCUAGGAUGACUCCAAUAAUGACACCAGUACUUGUCCUCAAAUAACUGACUUUUGAGUAUGCAGCUGAAGAACUUGAUGUGCACUUCCCAUUUUGUUAUGUAGAAUAUUAAAAAGGCUUGUAGUAGCUUUUUGAAGAGUCAAAAUUUAAUAAACAAUUUUGCUACUUUAUCAGACCUUUUUUUAAAGUACCACAAUAACAUUUUAUUGACUAAAUAUUAAAAUGACAAAUAUUUUUGGCUUAAAUAAAAUAACAUUCUUAAAACUAA
Odocoileus virginianus texanus is the source of this 2741-nucleotide non-coding RNA. NCBI's taxonomy places the organism in Eukaryota, Metazoa, Chordata, Mammalia, Artiodactyla, Cervidae. The record is from RefSeq and is a predicted model, not a curated record.